This 253-nucleotide ribosomal RNA is filed under the name uncultured bacterium. Its description in RNAcentral is "partial 16S ribosomal RNA". It matches the Rfam family "Bacterial small subunit ribosomal RNA", at positions 524 to 776 of the family's 1533-position model. The record is from RNAcentral.
UACGUAGGGUGCGAGCGUUAAUCGGAAUUACUGGGCGUAAAGCGUGCGCAGGCGGUUUUGCAAGCCGGAUGUGAAAUCCCCGGGCUUAACCUGGGAAUGGCAUUUGGGACUGCAAGGCUGGAGUGCGGCAGAGGAGACUGGAAUUCCUGGUGUAGCAGUGAAAUGCGUAGAGAUGUGGAGGAACACCGAUGGCGAAGGCAGCCCCCUGGGCUAACACUGACGCUCAUGCACGAAAGCGUGGGGAGCAAACAGG